AAGAUCAAAGCAGAGGAAGCCACACAAUGCAGAGAAUCAACAGUGGAGCUAUGCCUAGUGAGAAGCAAAGAGACACUGGAUGGCCUGAGAGGGAAAGAGACUGAGAAAAGCUGUCAGCUUUUAGUUCCUGGUUCCAGUCCUUUGUGACGGCCAGCUUGAUUAGAGGACAUAUUUAUAAAAUGAGCAUCUGAAAAAUGAAGAGCACAAUUCCAGUUUUUACAUGCAGUUCCAGUACUACGCAUAAGAUGGAAAAGGUCAUUUGGAAAAUAUAGCCAUUUUUGGAAGACUGAGCAGCCAAGGUUCUUAAGUAUAGGAGAUUGGGACAAAACAAAAAAAAGGACCAUUACAGGAUGGAGCGUGUAAAAAGCAAAACCUUCCUGACAGAAUGUGGAUGGGCCAAAAACAGCAGUAAAGAGAUUAACCUCAAAUAGGAAAAUAUAUUCCUUGUGUGGAUAUUGGAGGAGAAACAAUGAAGAAUGGUCGCAGAUAUAGACAAUUACAGCAAGCUCUAGGAAAACUUUCUCUGAAAAAGGUUUAUAACAGUUCACUACUUCAUCUACAUCCUCAAGCCAACACCUAUGAAAAAGAUAAUGGUGUCCGAUGACAGGCCUCUGCUAACAGUGUAAGGCUAUCUGUGAACUCC
This 643-nucleotide long non-coding RNA is filed under the name Homo sapiens (human). Its description in RNAcentral is "long non-coding RNA NONHSAT165805.1". Lineage: Eukaryota; Metazoa; Chordata; Mammalia; Primates; Hominidae. The record is from RNAcentral.